Molecule: transfer RNA, 87 nt
Filed under: Candidatus Vogelbacteria bacterium
Lineage: Bacteria; Candidatus Vogeliibacteriota
Description: tRNA-Ser
Rfam family: tRNA
About the family: Transfer RNA (tRNA) molecules are approximately 80 nucleotides in length.
Source: RNAcentral
GGAGGAGUGGCCGAGUGGUUUAAGGCAGCGGUUUACUAAACCGCCGUCCCUUAAUUGGGACCAUGAGUUCGAAUCUCAUCUCCUCCG